Aegilops tauschii subsp. strangulata is the source of this 1180-nucleotide long non-coding RNA. RefSeq lists it as uncharacterized. The record is from RefSeq and is a predicted model, not a curated record. Lineage: Eukaryota; Viridiplantae; Streptophyta; Magnoliopsida; Poales; Poaceae.
AGUAUCCCAUUCUACGCCUGCCGACCGACACGUUCCCCCCUCUCUCGCCCGACGCCACCCACCACUCGUUCCCCACCACUCGUCUCUCUCUCGCGCGCGACGCCGUCCUCUCCCCGUCGAUGUGCCCUCUCGCCGGCAUCUUGCUCCGCACCGUCGCCUAGCUCACCGCUCCCCAUGCAUCGCCGCCUAGCUCACCGCUCCCAACGCGCCACCCUCUCAAACUCCGGCAAUGCACUGCUGGGCGAGGAGUAGAUGCAGAAAGCUGCCAUUUUUAUGCGCCGGCAACGCGCUGGCGCUAGAUCUGAGUGCGUUGGCGCUCGAUCUGCUUCGUGGAGAGGCAUGAAGGAGGCGCUGAAGCGGAGCCGGAGCGGCGCCGGCGCGGGCGUGAAGGCGGCGGCAGUAGGAGCUGGAGCCCGAGCAGGUGGAGGUGGAGCCGCAUCUGGACCUUGUACUGUAUCAAGAUGGAUGGAGUAGAGAGCCUAGAGUAGGAAAGAGCCUUGGACCGUAGCCAUGGACAGCGCAUGACAGAGCCAUGGACAGUGCAACAUCACAAACUUCAUUCCUGUAGAGCCUGAUGCAGCGCAGCAUCACAACCUUGAUGGAAGGAGGCCAGGCCAUGAAGAGAAAAGCUCCUGCCCAUAUCGAUUCAAGAGGAGAGGAGGGCCAUGGAGGGAGAAGCCUGCUGCUGCAAUACCUACCUUGUCGUCCUCAUGGUGGGGUGUAGUUGAGGUUUGGGAGAUCCAUGUUCUCCAGGCAACUGAAAAGAACUUUCAAGAUUGUUUUAAAGAAGGGCUAUUGAAAAAAGAUGUAUGAGAGUAUUAGUGACUCUCAUGUGGGCAUGCUGCACUUUUCAGGUAGCAGAUGCAGAGGGAGUAAUGGGCGAGGAGAUGAACCUAGGCGAGCAAAAUUGAGAACUCUAGCUAAAGCAGCUCCUGCCCAGCGGCGAGGACUUCAGCGGCAGCAACACCUGUGCGUGGGGAGGAACAGCCCCUGGGCGCGCGCAGGCAGCAGCUCGCCUCCACCAGCGGGCGGCAGCAGAGCACCAGCUCGCCUCCACCAGUGGCCAGCAGUAGAGCAGCAGCUCGUCUCCACCAGCGGGCGGCAGCAGAGCACCACCUGGGCGCGCGCGGGCCAGGAGGAGCCCCUGGCGUGGGAGAGGAGGAGCCCGGGGGUGGAGAUG